RNAcentral lists this small RNA (432 nucleotides) under Scopulariopsis sp. 0911TES34G3. Its description in RNAcentral is "eukaryotic LSU rRNA". The stretch from base 75 to 228 matches the Rfam family "5.8S ribosomal RNA". The record is from RNAcentral. Lineage: Eukaryota; Fungi; Ascomycota; Sordariomycetes; Microascales; Microascaceae.
CCCCGCCGGCCGCGCCUCACUCUUAAUUUGCAAAGCGGACUGUACGAUCUGAUUAAUCUUGAUAAACAAGUCAAAACUUUCAACAACGGAUCUCUUGGUUCUGGCAUCGAUGAAGAACGCAGCGAAAUGCGAUAAGUAAUGUGAAUUGCAGAAUUCAGUGAAUCAUCGAAUCUUUGAACGCACAUUGCGCCCGGCAGCAAUCUGCCGGGCAUGCCUGUCCGAGCGUCAUUUCUCCCCUCGAGCGCGGUUGGCCCCUAGCGGGCCGGCCGCCGCCCGGUGUUGGGGCACUGCGGGCCACAGCGCCCGCAGGCCCUUAAAUGAAGUGGCGGUCCCGCCGCGGCGCCCCCUGCGUAGUAGUAAAGCACCUCGCAUCGGGUCCCGGCGAAGACCAGCCGUCGAACCUAUCUCUUGAUGGUUGACCUCGGAUCAGUA